AUUGAACGCUGGCGGCAGGCCUAACACAUGCAAGUCGAACGAGUGGCGGACGGGUGAGUAAUAUCUGUGAAACUGCCCGAUGGAGGGGGAUAACUACUGGAAACGGUAGCUAAUACCGCAUACCAUCGGAUGUGCCCAACUGGGAUUAGCUUGUAGGUGGGGUAACGGCUCACCUAGGCGACGAGCCCUAGCUGGUCUGCGAGGAUGAUCAGCAACACUGGCACUGAGACACGGACCAGACGCCUACGGGAGGCAGCAGUGGGGAAUAUGGCAAAAGGGGCGCAAGCCUGAUGCAGCCAUGCCGCGUGUAUGAAGAAGGCCUUCGGGUUGCAAAGUACUUUCAGCGGGGAGGCGUUACCCGCAGCAGAAGCACCGGCUAACUCCGUGCCAGCAGCCGCGGUAAUUC
This 406-nucleotide ribosomal RNA is filed under the name uncultured bacterium. RNAcentral describes it as "partial 16S ribosomal RNA". It matches the Rfam family "Bacterial small subunit ribosomal RNA", at positions 30 to 526 of the family's 1533-position model. The record is from RNAcentral.